UACAGAGGGUGCGAACGUUGCUCGGAAUUACUGGGCGUAAAGCGCGUGUAGGCGGGACGAUAAGUCGGAAGUGAAAUCCCCGGGCUCAACCCGGGAACUGCUUUCGAAACUGCCGUCCUCGAGUACCGGAGAGGGUGGCGGAAUUCCUGGUGUAGAGGUGAAAUUCGUAGAUAUCAGGAGGAACACCGGUGGCGAAGGCGGCCACCUGGACGGUUACUGACGCUGAGACGCUAAAGCGUGGGGAGCAAACAGG
Molecule: ribosomal RNA, 253 nt
Filed under: uncultured bacterium
Lineage: Bacteria
Description: partial 16S ribosomal RNA
Rfam family: Bacterial small subunit ribosomal RNA
Source: RNAcentral